RNAcentral lists this ribosomal RNA (253 nucleotides) under uncultured bacterium. Its description in RNAcentral is "partial 16S ribosomal RNA". It matches the Rfam family "Bacterial small subunit ribosomal RNA", at positions 524 to 776 of the family's 1533-position model. The record is from RNAcentral.
UACGGGGGGGGCAAGCGUUGUUCGGAAUUACUGGGCGUAAAGGGCUCGUAGGUGGUCAACUAAGUCGGACGUGAAAUCCCCAGGCUUAACCUGGGAACUGCGUCGGAUACUGGAUGGCUUGAAUUCGGGAGAGGGAUGCAGAGUUCCAGGUGUAGCGGUGAAAUGCGUAGAUAUCUGGAGGAAUACCGGUGGCGAAGGCGGCAUCCUGGACCGACAUUGACGCUGAACGGCGAAAGCUAGGGGAGCAAACGGG